Long non-coding RNA from Homo sapiens (human), 1429 nucleotides. Ensembl annotates it as prostate cancer associated 3. Its record names the gene PCA3. NCBI's taxonomy places the organism in Eukaryota, Metazoa, Chordata, Mammalia, Primates, Hominidae. The record is from Ensembl.
AAAUCAGAAUUAUCUGUUUCUACUUCCCAGUCAACGUUUGAUGGAGACAAAAUGUUGGAGCCUGCUCCUACCGGCAAAUAAACGGACUCAGGGUCUUCACGAAUAUGCAGCACAGCCAGCUGGGAUCCAGGCAGUCUGUUUUUGGUCUCAGCCUGGUUUCCCUCACUUCUUCGAUCAGGAAGUGCAGAAAGCACUAUCUCUGCUGCUCUGCAUCCCAGAGAUUCAUCCUCUGGAGACCCAGCUUCCUCUAUUGUUUCAGCACUCUGGGCAGGUUCUGUGAGAUAAGACAAAUCAAAGGGAGGUGUGUACGGUGCCAGCGACUGCUUCAGAGAAUCUUCCUCCAAAGGAGGGUCACCACCAUACAGGAAGUGUUCAGGCUCUCUCAGUAAAUCUUCAUCGAUAUUCUGGCCCAUUACAUCAUAUUCAAAAUCACCCCACGAGGCUUCAGAUGAGCAGAUAUCUUGCUUCCCUAGGUCCCCAUCAACUGGCGUUUCCGGAUGGCCUUCGGAUAAUGUCAGUUUACUCAUGUCAUCUAUUGUUCCCGUGGAUGUGUUGAGACCUGAGGCAUCGCUGAAACUGUGGUCAAAGGCAGCUUCGCUUAUAUCCAGACAAGUGUCUGAGGCUAGCAAAGCAUCAGGAACCAAGGCAGGAUUCUCUGUGGAUAAAUGUGGAUCACCAUCAAACAAAGCUCUUGCACCAGGCUGACUUUCAGGAGAAAAGCUGUCUGAUAUCCAAGAACCGUCACCUUCUGGAGUUGGCUCUUGUUCUGGAAGACGGAAAGUCCAAGAUCAAGAUCCUGACAUACUCGCUGUCUGAUGAGCACCUGCCUCCUGAUUCAUAGGCUGCCAUCUUUUUGCUGUGUCCUCACGUGACAGAAAAGGUGAGAAAUAAGAAAGGCUGCUGACUUUACCAUCUGAGGCCACACAUCUGCUGAAAUGGAGAUAAUUAACAUCACUAGAAACAGCAAGAUGACAAUAUAAUGUCUAAGUAGUGACAUGUUUUUGCACAUUUCCAGCCCCUUUAAAUAUCCACACACACAGGAAGCACAAAAGGAAGCACAGAGCCUUCUCCAUCUCCUACACACUCUGAAAUAAUCUGUCAGAAGAUCCUCAUCCUGCCGUGCUGGCUUACUCUGGAUCAAGAGACAAAGACUCCAGCUCUAUCUCUGAUGGACCGAGUAGGAAGAAUCAGCAUGAGUCAACCCACCAGGUUUCCCAGAGCUUAAUCCAGAAGGGACCCAAACACUAGGGCUGCUGGAGCUACCUUCACCAAUACAGGGGUAAUCAUAGUACCUUUUACUGGGAGGAUUAAGUGAGAUAAUGCUUACUCAACUGCCAGGUACACGGGGAAAUUUGAACACAGAGACAUGCAUAGAGGGAAGGUGAUGUGAAGAUGAAGGCAGAGAUCCAGGUGAUGCUUCUAUGCACCA